RNAcentral lists this non-coding RNA (361 nucleotides) under Felis catus (domestic cat). Lineage: Eukaryota; Metazoa; Chordata; Mammalia; Carnivora; Felidae. The record is from Rfam by way of RNAcentral.
AAGAUCCUAUGACACUUUAACUGGUCUAAAGAGACCCAACACGGUCAACAGGGUUGACAAAUAGCCCCAUGGGCCAACAAUUAGAUUGGGGUGACCUUGGGGAAUAAAACAACUUCUGAGUGAUUAAGACUUACCAGUCAAAAGUAUUACAUCACUUACUGAUCCGAAAACUCGAUCAACAGAGUAAGUUACCCUAGGGAUAACCGUGCAAUCUUACUUUAGAGUCCAUAGCAACAGUGGGGCUUAGGACCUCCAUGUUGGAUUAGGACAUCUCGCUGGUGCAGCAGGUACCACAGUUCCUUGGUUCGAUGAUUGACGUCCUGUGUGACCGGAGUUCAGACAUGAGCAAUCUGGAUCGGUU